Molecule: ribosomal RNA, 451 nt
Filed under: uncultured bacterium
Lineage: Bacteria
Description: bacterial SSU rRNA
Rfam family: Bacterial small subunit ribosomal RNA
Source: RNAcentral
GGUGAACGCUGGCGGUGCGCCUAAUACAUGCAAGUCGAACGAGAUCAGAGUUGAAUUUAUUCAAUUCUGUGAAAGUGGCGGACGAGCGAGUAACACGUAACCAUCUGCCCCGUACUCAGGGAUAACGGCUCGAAAGAGUCGCUAAUACCGGAUAGUCUCGUAAGAGUAAAGCUUUUGCGGUACGGGAGGAGGUUGCGGCUUAUCAGUUAGUUGGUGGGGUAAAGGCCUACCAAGACGAUGACGAGUAGCUGGUGUGAGAGCAUGACCAGCCGCGAUGGGACUGAGACACGGCCCAUACUCCUACGGGAGGCAGCAGUAAGGAAUCUUCCGCAAUGGACGAAAGUCUGACGGAGCGACACCGCGUGGUGGAUGACGGCCUAUGGGUUGUAAACACCUUUUCUCAGGGAAGAAGAUCUGACGGUACCUGAGGAAUAAGCCCCGGCUAAUUACG